RNAcentral lists this ribosomal RNA (657 nucleotides) under Lobaria orientalis. RNAcentral's name for it is "SSU rRNA". It matches the Rfam family "Bacterial small subunit ribosomal RNA", at positions 357 to 957 of the family's 1533-position model. The record is from RNAcentral. Lineage: Eukaryota; Fungi; Ascomycota; Lecanoromycetes; Peltigerales; Lobariaceae.
AGGAAUAUUGGUCAAUAGCCUAACGGCUGAACCAGCAACUUGGAGGAAUGAAAAGCAAUAGCUGAUUGCAUUAAAUUUAAAAUUAGAGUUUUUUUAAUUUUUAAUGUAGUUACUACUUUGUAGUUUAAAUUUCUAGGUAGAAUUAUGAUGAUGACAUUAUCUAUCUAUAGGUCUUGACCAAAUUACGUGCCAGCAGUCGCGGUAAUACGUAGAAGACAAGUGUUAUUCAUCUUUAUUAGGUUUAAAGAGUACCAAGACGGUUAAUAAAGCCCAAAAUACAUGAGCACAGGGGACACAUUAACUAGAGUUAUAUGAAAGGAAGCAUUAAGGUACUGUUGAGUGUAGAGAUAAAAUUCAGUCAUACCAGAUGAAAGGCACAGAUUUAUGCGAAGGCAUCUUCCUAUGUAAUAACUGACGUUGUAGGACGAAGGCUUUUGAAGUGAAGAGGAUUAGAUACCCUUGUAAUUUAAGCAGAAAAUGAUGAAUGUCAUAGGUUUAAUAUAUCCACCCCCCAAAAAAAAAAGGGGGUGGAUGUUUUAUUGGGUCUAUAAAUGAAAGUGUAAGCAUUCCACCUCAAGAGUAAUUUGGCAACAUUGGAACUGAAAUCAUUAGACCGUUUCUGAAACCAGUAGUGAAGUAUGUUGUUUAAUUAGAUGA